GUGUCAGGAUGGGGUACAGGUGAGGUGUGGGGUCCCGGUGUCAGGAUGGGGUACAGGUGAGGUGUGGGGUCCAGGUGUCAGGAUGGGGUACAGGUGUCAGGAUGGAGUACAGGUGAGGUGUUGGGUCCUGGU
Long non-coding RNA from Nanorana parkeri, 132 nucleotides. RefSeq lists it as uncharacterized. The transcript has 3 exons. The record is from RefSeq and is a predicted model, not a curated record. NCBI's taxonomy places the organism in Eukaryota, Metazoa, Chordata, Amphibia, Anura, Dicroglossidae.